Molecule: ribosomal RNA, 468 nt
Filed under: uncultured bacterium
Lineage: Bacteria
Description: partial 16S ribosomal RNA
Rfam family: Bacterial small subunit ribosomal RNA
Source: RNAcentral
GACGAACGCUGGCGGCGUGCUUAACACAUGCAAGUCGAACGGAAAGGCCCUGCUUUUGUGGGGUGCUCGAGUGGCGAACGGGUGAGUAACACGUGAGUAACCUGCCCUUGACUUUGGGAUAACUUCAGGAAACUGGGGCUAAUACCGGAUAGGAGCUCCUGCUGCAUGGUGGGGGUUGGAAAGUUUCGGCGGUUGGGGAUGUACUCGCGGCUUAUCAGCUUGUUGGUGGGGUAGUGGCUUACCAAGGCUUUGACGGGUAGCCGGCCUGAGAGGGUGACCGGCGACAUUGGGACUGAGAGACGGACCAGAAUGCUACGGGAGGCAGCAGUGGGGAAUAUUGCACAAUGGGCGGAAGCCUGAUGCAGCAACGCCGCGUGCGGGAUGACGGCCUUCGGGUUGUAAACCGCUUUCGCCUGUGACGAAGCGUGAGUGACGGUAAUGGGUAAAGAAGCACCGGCUAACUACGUG